Molecule: unclassified non-coding RNA, 22 nt
Filed under: Mus musculus (house mouse)
Lineage: Eukaryota; Metazoa; Chordata; Mammalia; Rodentia; Muridae
Description: oocyte_clustered_small_RNA8075
Source: RNAcentral
CUCAGCAAGACGGGCACUGCUG